UUCUUACUUUUUUUUUUAUGUUCUGUUUGAGACUAGCAAUGAUGAAGUUUUGAACGAAAGCAUAUUGAGUCCAGUCAUGCUAAUGAUGUUUCUAGAAAUGGUCUUAAUGAUGUUGAUGCCAUUUCUGGAAACAGCAGUGGUGAUGAUCUGAAUAUGAUGGCGCCAAUUGUAGUUUCAGACAAAAAGCAGAACAAUAAUGCUCCAGCUCGGAAGCUUGGAUUUGGGUUAAUUGGCUCAGGAAAACGUACUACUUACUGUCCCUUCAGUUUUCCAUGAAGAGGAUGAUGAGAAUUUGGAUGAGAAAAAAAUGAGACCUCUUGUGCCAAUUGAUUAUUCAACUGAAGAAUUACAGGUUGUCCAGGCAAAUGCAUCUGGAUCACAAUCAAAUUUGGCGGCUGCUGCUGAAUUUGCCAAGCGCAUAUCUGGUGCCAACCCAAAAGAUGUGAAGGCUGAUGUAGAUAGGGAAAGGAGCAGACGUUCUAGUGGCAAACAGAAUUUGAGAGAUUGAGAUUGGAAUGAUGAUGAGAGUAGCCGUUCAAAAGAUGAAAGUAGGGAGAAGAUGCAUGAUAGGAAUAUUGAUCGGGAAAAAGGUAGAGAAGAUAAACCAAAAACUGGAAAUAAGAAAUUAUUGGAUGCCAAGCAGUUGAUUGAUAUGAUUCCAAAAACAAAAGAAGAAAUGUUUGUCUAUGAAAUUAAUUGGGAUGUUUAUGACAAGCAUCACUUGCAUGAGAGGAUGAGACAUUGGAUCUCAAAGAAGAUAACUGAGUUCCUUGGAGAAGAGGAGGCCACUUUGGUGGACUACAUUGUUUCCUGUAUUAAAGAUCACGUACAAGCAUCCACAAUGCUAGAAAUGCUUCAGUCUAUAUUAGAUGAUGAGGCAGAAAUGUUUGUCCUCAAAACGUGGAGGAUGCUGAUUUUUGAAAUUAAGAAAGUUGAAACAAGCUUAUCAAUGAAAUCAAAGUCCUAGGCUCCAUUUUUUUUAAAAAGAAUUUCUCUCGUCUUAUCAUGCCUUCAAAUUUCCAUUUGUGC
Long non-coding RNA from Zingiber officinale, 1029 nucleotides. RefSeq lists it as uncharacterized. The transcript is spliced from 3 exons. The record is from RefSeq and is a predicted model, not a curated record. Lineage: Eukaryota; Viridiplantae; Streptophyta; Magnoliopsida; Zingiberales; Zingiberaceae.